UGAUAAAAAUUUUAUCCAUUUUUAUUAUUAAAAAUUGAUAUGGUUGAUGGAAUGACCAAAAAGUUAUACGUGGUAUGUCAUGUGUACCUCAUGCUAACGUACAUGGAUCCGUUUUUUUAACAGUAGAAAUAGAUGAAAUUUUAAUA
Gossypium hirsutum (cotton) is the source of this 146-nucleotide non-coding RNA. The record is from Rfam. NCBI's taxonomy places the organism in Eukaryota, Viridiplantae, Streptophyta, Magnoliopsida, Malvales, Malvaceae.